RNAcentral lists this ribosomal RNA (302 nucleotides) under uncultured bacterium. Its description in RNAcentral is "partial 16S ribosomal RNA". It matches the Rfam family "Bacterial small subunit ribosomal RNA", at positions 508 to 807 of the family's 1533-position model. The record is from RNAcentral.
GCAGUCGCCGCGGUAAUACGUAGGGUGCAAGCGUUAAUCGGAAUUACUGGGCGUAAAGCGUGCGCAGGCGGUGUUGUAAGACUGAUGUGAAAUCCCCGGGCUCAACCUGGGAACUGCAUUGGUGACUGCAACGCUGGAGUGCGGCAGAGGGGGAUGGAAUUCCGCGUGUAGCAGUGAAAUGCGUAGAUAUGCGGAGGAACACCGAUGGCGAAGGCAAUCCCCUGGACAAAGACUGACGCUCAGGUGCGAAAGCGUGGGGAGCAAACAGGAUUAGAUACCCCCGUAGUCCCUGUCUCUUAUAC